RNAcentral lists this ribosomal RNA (497 nucleotides) under uncultured bacterium. Its description in RNAcentral is "partial 16S ribosomal RNA". It matches the Rfam family "Bacterial small subunit ribosomal RNA", at positions 28 to 507 of the family's 1533-position model. The record is from RNAcentral.
GAUGAACGCUGGCGGCGUGCCUAAUACAUGCAAGUCGAGCGAACGGACGAGAAGCUUGCUUCUCUGAUGUUAGCGGCGGACGGGUGAGUAGCACGUGGAUAACCUACCUAUAAGACUGGGAUAACUUCGGGAAACCGGAGCUAAUACCGGAUAAUAUUUUGAACCGCAUGGUUCAAAAGUGAAAGACGGUCUUGCUGUCACUUAUAGAUGGAUCCGCGCUGCAUUAGCUAGUUGGUAAGGUAACGGCUUACCAAGGCAACGAUGCAUAGCCGACCUGAGAGGGUGAUCGGCCACACUGGAACUGAGACACGGUCCAGACUCCUACGGGAGGCAGCAGUAGGGAAUCUUCCGCAAUGGGCGAAAGCCUGACGGAGCAACGCCGCGUGAGUGAUGAAGGUCUUCGGAUCGUAAAACUCUGUUAUUAGGGAAGAACAAAUGUGUAAGUAACUGUGCACAUCUUGACGGUACCUAAUCAGAAAGCCACGGCUAACUACGUG